UAUUCGUUCAGGCCGCAUAGUCGCCCGCCGCCGGAUGCUGCUCCGCCCCGAGCACCGUCAGUGGCCCCGUCGCCUCCUCAGGCAUGCCCUCUUCAUCCUCCGAGCUUCCCUCGUCGCACCGCGGACCACCUGCUCCUCCUGAUGCACCGGCUGUCUCCUACCUCGGGGUCCGGUGAGCGGCGUCGGCAGCCACGGCGAACUGCCACGGGUGCGGCCAAUCCGAGCUCCUGUUGGUAGGUUAAUCCAAAAAGAAAAAGAAUCCACGCACUACACGACCCCGUCCUCCAAUACGCCACCUGCUCCCAUCCAUGUAGCACCGCCGCUCGCUUCAGCUCCUGCUCGUCGAUCGCCGCCGUGUGGAGCCACCUUCCCAGCGCGCCGCUCCGCCUGCGUACACCGGGGAUUUAGUCCAGGCCCUCCACCGGCUCAAGACCCAGUGGCUCUCUGCUCCUCAACGCCCCACAUCGAGCGCCCAAUCCAGGAAAACAACCCCGUCGCGCUGCCGCUCCCCAUCUCCCUGCGUCGUCCCAAGAUGGUCGGGCUGGGCACCACCCCGGCGGCCGAGCGUGUGCUUUCCACGGAAGCCAGCUCCUCCACCCAGACCCUUCUCUACAAGGACGGCGAGGACACUGCUUCGUCAUAACUGAUCGUGACGACCACGCGCAAUCCAAUUGGGAGGUAUUUAUAAGCACCAAUGUAUCCUUGGUUUAGUUCCCAUAUCUUGAAUUACUGAUCAAAUGCAAGGAUUGCAUAUAAAGUAAUUGGGUUUGGCCUUUGUGAGGAAUGCUACAGCAGCACUUCAAACCUCCCAUGCCGCUUUCAUCAGCAGCAUAGAACUUGAUAAUACAUCACUGUAGGAUGCAUUCAUGAGAUUCCAAUGGAUACCCACGGAAGGUCCACAAUAGCUGAUUGUAGAAGAAUUUGUUGUAUCUAGCGAAGUUAAUUCUGGGAGCAAUCCUUGAAUAUUGCAGGGGUCGAUUUAAAUGAAUGUAGUGUGCUAACAUGGUGCAUCGUUGGAGAUGUAUUUAUUAUUCGCUUACUGGUUAGUACUUGGAAAGUUAGUUGACACAUAUCUAUGAUAAUAGAAGUAAUAAUUAUUUGACAAUAGGAAUAAGCAUAUAGUAUUUGUUUCCACUUCUUAAUAAAUAGGUUUCUUGUUUUCUUUGUGUUCAGUCCACAAGAUAGGUGCAUGUUGUUUCUAAUCAUGACAUUCUGGAAUUCAAGCUUUUCUGUUUGUGCUCAACUGAACAAAAGCUCGAUGUGGGAUGUUACUUUCCCCAAUGAUAGAGGGUCUUUGUUUCAAACUCAUGAAUAUGUUCCCCACAAUAGGAAGAAUGUAAUAUUGCUUAGCAUGUCUCCUUGAAGUACAGGCAUCCAAGAUUGCCAUACAAAAUAUAAUGGCUUUGACGUUAAUUUAGAGUACAAUUUUACCUUCUCAAGAAAUUUCAACACUGAAGAUGGAGUCUAUGUUAAUUGUGAUACAUGUGGCAUUUGAAGUAGUAAUUCCACUCAAAGUUUAGAUUAUACUUAAGUGUGGGUUCAAAAUUCCAUCUGUAUCUUCGUAUAAGAAUUCAUGUUUUUGUUUUUUGCACAAGUCCAUAUGACCUGAUUUAUCUAUAUGGACUAUCAUUGACGCGCUUAAAUGUAUUCUCGACAUUUUUUCAGAAAACCAGAUGAUCGAGGUGAGAAAAAAAAUGUGUGUUGCUUUUAUCUAGGAAAACUGACACUCAGAUGCACAUGCCAAGAUCACCAUUGAUUUAUUGCCUGUUUAACAACACAGAAAGAAGAAUUGCUACACCGGAACCUGGGCCAUGCGGUGAUUGAUAUUUUAGUUGCGCGACUGUUUCCAUGCUGUUCAUUUGAGGUAAAUUUUAAAAUGAUGCAUUGCUUCUCCUUACUAUAUGUCGAUGCUUGCAUAGUUUAAUCUAUCCGGUGUAUACACAGCUCUUCUUGGUGAUCGUGUUUUUCAUGGUGUGUCGAUGUGUAUCACAAGCUAACAGGCAGACAUAGAUAAAUUGUAAUUAUGGUUGUAUAAUGAUUGGUUUGGUAAAAGCUCAUGUGUUAUAUGUUUUGGCGGGUUUUGGUAAAACCACUUCUGAACUUCAGAGAUAUAUGUUUGGUGCUUGCUCCACACAUAUGUAUGUUGCUCCAGCUCAUGCAUUCGUUUGGUCUGACCAUGGUGCGUGGCCUCUACAAUUUAAGAAUUAAGAACUCUUCCCGGCCAUCAAGGAUGUACGAAGUACUUGAGUUGUACAAGAACUGAAUUACAUUAUUUCUAUUUUAUACAGCAACAAGGACCCAGAUUUGUGAUUUUUAUAUGUAAAGAAAACCAUAUGAAAUUUUCAUGUAACUGUUAUUGUGUAACUUAUCUUCAUCUCUAAGAAUAUGGAUGAUCUUUACUUUUGAAAUCCAGUACUUUGAGUUGAG
Molecule: long non-coding RNA, 2427 nt
Organism: Triticum dicoccoides
Lineage: Eukaryota; Viridiplantae; Streptophyta; Magnoliopsida; Poales; Poaceae
Exons: 3
Source: RefSeq, a predicted model, not a curated record